CGAUAAUUAAAAAGCAAGUGCCUGUAUGUUGUUUUACUUUUGGAAUUCCAAGCGAAUUUAUUAUAAAAAGAUUGAAAGAAGCAAACAUUAAGCUAAUAGGUACAGCAACAAGUGUUGAUGAAGCUAU
This 127-nucleotide small RNA is filed under the name Staphylococcus aureus. RNAcentral describes it as "Transcript". The record is from RNAcentral. Lineage: Bacteria; Bacillati; Bacillota; Bacilli; Caryophanales; Staphylococcaceae.